This is a long non-coding RNA of Homo sapiens (human), 2359 nucleotides long. Ensembl annotates it as CDKN2B antisense RNA 1. Its record names the gene CDKN2B-AS1. The record is from Ensembl. Lineage: Eukaryota; Metazoa; Chordata; Mammalia; Primates; Hominidae.
CUGGUCUUCUAGGAAGCGGCUGCUGCCCUAGACGCUGGCUCCUCAGUAGCAUCAGCACGAGGGCCACAGCGGCGGGCGCCCCUGGCGCUGCCCACUCCCCCGUGAGCCGCGGGAUGUGAACCACGAAAACCCUCACUCGCGGCGGGCCGCACGCGCGCCGAAUCCGGAGGGUCACCAAGAACCUGCGCACCAUGUUCUCGCCGCCUCCAGGGCCGAGCUCGGCAGCCGCUGCGCCGCCCUUUGGCACCAGAGAUUUGGAAAACAAGCGAAAUUAAACUAAACCGCUGCACGCCUCUGACGCGACAUCUGGACACGGCGCGGCGCUGGCGCUGCCGGAGCUGUCGACCCGGCCUGGCGCCGGACUAGGACUAUUUGCCACGACAUUUCAAAGGAUUCCAAGAGAGAAUAUUGGUGUCCAUGCUGUGAUGAUUCCUCAGCUCCUCUCAUCUGAUCUCCGUCCUGGCCCCCAUGACUUUCUUUGUGGUAGUUAGGGUGUGGUAUGUGCCACUGAGGCCCACACCUAUUGCUGCAAUUUAUAGCACUGAUCUGUCAUCAAUACCACUUGCUGUCUUGGAUGUGAAGAUGAUUUUUCCUGCAGGGAUUCCCUCUACAAAAUUAAAAACACUGGGCAUGUGGAAAUAAUAUUCAUGCUUUAAAUUGUCUUUUCUCUUCACUACACCAGGGGUCCCCAACCCCUAGGCCACAGACUGUGGCCCUAGUGUAGUGAAUAGAAAAGACAAUUUAAAGCGUGAAUAUUAUUUCCUCAUGCCCAGUGUUUUUAAUUUUGUACUGGUCUGUGGCUUGUUAGAAACCAGGCUGCACAGCAGAAGGUGGGCAGCAGGUGAGCAAGCAUUACUGCUUGAGUUCCGCCUCCUGUCAGAUCAGCAGUGGCAUUAGAUUCUCAUAGGAGCACAAACCCUAUUGUGAACUGCACACGCAAGGGAUCUAGGUUGUGCGCCCUUUAUGAGAAUCUAACUAAUGGCUGAUGAUCUGACGUGGAACAGUUUCAACCCAGAGCACCCCCCACCCACCUGCAGAAGAAUUGACUUUUACGAAACCAGUCCCUGGUGCCAAAAAGGUUGGGGACCACCGCUGCACUACACUACCUAAAAGAUUUUCACUUUCACAGUGUUGCUUGCUUCUGUUUUACAUGCACAAGUAGCUAAAGCUAGCCUUCUGGUAAAUGGAGGGGCAGAGCAGAUGGUGGGGGAGGAGUACAUACGGACGAAUUUGAAUCACAAUUUCCUCACUAUAUGCCAGCAAAAUUUAAUAAUAGCACCUAAACAUACACAUGCAUAUGUAAAUGAGUCACACUAUAAAAACUUUUAACAAGUACUGGCAAGUCAGAUGGCAGACUUACCCUGAAACCUGCCACUCCAAUAAAAACCUCAUAAUUAAAAACAAGGCUGUCUAUAAAGCAUAACAUAUAAUAACAAUUAUUUGCAACUGGUACAAGGCUAGAUUAGAAAGUUGAAAGUUAUCUUUCUCAGGUAAAAAUGCUUUUCCUAUACAGUAUGCAGCCAGCAGAUUAUCAUCCAUAGUUUGAGUAGUGAGAUGCCACUUGCUCCAACAAUUAACACCUGCUGAUGUUGGUCCAAGAAGAGACUGAGGUGAUGCAGUUUCACCUGUUUUGUAAGAAUAACGCUGGUGUUUGCCAUCUAUUGACAGAGUGCCUACUACGUGCCAGAUGCUUUGUUGGCACUGAAUGUGCUAUCUCAUUCCAGUUUCUUUAUACUCAAUGAAAAACCAACUACAUUUAUAUUGCAUUGAGGCUUAAAGUGGUUUACUGACUUGCUUAAGAUUAUACAAGUAGUAGGUGGCUACAGCAGGGUUUGAACCCAAGUAUGCUUGAUUCCCCAAACCAUGCUUUUUAAAAAAUCAAAGGUGUAACUUCGAUAAAAGACAUGAAGUUAAUGAAUAUAUGAAAGAUGGUGAAUAGAUACAGAUACAAUGUGGCCUUAGGCCAGAUCAUGUUGAACAUGUGGUGGGAUAGAUAAGAGAAGGUUCUUCUUUGUUGUUACCUGGUUCUCAAUUGGUUAUUACUUUAUGUGCUUUCCAUAUUAAAAUUCUAUUAUUCUGGUCUAUAAAUUCACCCACCCAGACUUGCCUAAACUAAUUAAACCCUGAAGUUUGGCAUGUCUCUUUUUUGGGGUGCCUCUAUGAUAGGUGGUAGAAAUGAAAAUGGAAUUAAAAGUUUUGUGAAGCUAUAGCACUACUUUUUCAUUGUGUUCCCCCCUGACUUUCUGCCUUAGGUGUUUACUUUGGUGAGAUAUCCUGGGAGAAAUUGAGGUGAAAAGAAGCCCGAGUUAGGAUUAGGGAAGAGAUGAAGUAGUCAAUAAAAUUCAAAUUCUUGUAUUCU